UACGAAGGGGGCUAGCGUUGUUCGGAAUUACUGGGCGUAAAGCGUGCGCAGGCGGCUUCUCAAGUCAGGGGUGAAAGCCCAGAGCUCAACUCUGGAAUUGCCUUUGAGACUGAGUGGCUUGAGUACGAGAGAGGUGAGUGGAAUUCCCAGUGUAGAGGUGAAAAUUCGUAGAUAUUGGGAAGAACACCGGUGGCGAAGGCGGCUCACUGGCUCGUAACUGACGCUCAUGCACGACAGCGUGGGGAUCAAACAGG
This 254-nucleotide ribosomal RNA is filed under the name uncultured bacterium. RNAcentral describes it as "partial 16S ribosomal RNA". It matches the Rfam family "Bacterial small subunit ribosomal RNA", at positions 524 to 776 of the family's 1533-position model. The record is from RNAcentral.